UGGGGAAUUUUGGACAAUGGGCGCAAGCCUGAUCCAGCCAUGCCGCGUGCAGGAUGAAGGCCUUCGGGUUGUAAACUGCUUUUGUACGGAACGAAACGGCUCUUUCUAAUAAAGAGGGCUAAUGACGGUACCGUAAGAAUAAGCACCGGCUAACUACGUG
Molecule: ribosomal RNA, 160 nt
Filed under: uncultured beta proteobacterium
Lineage: Bacteria; Pseudomonadati; Pseudomonadota; Betaproteobacteria
Description: partial 16S ribosomal RNA
Rfam family: Bacterial small subunit ribosomal RNA
Source: RNAcentral